RNAcentral lists this ribosomal RNA (468 nucleotides) under uncultured bacterium. RNAcentral describes it as "partial 16S ribosomal RNA". It matches the Rfam family "Bacterial small subunit ribosomal RNA", at positions 28 to 507 of the family's 1533-position model. The record is from RNAcentral.
GACGAACGCUGGCGGCGUGCUUAACACAUGCAAGUCGAACGGAAAGGCACUGCUUUUGUGGGGUGCUCGAGUGGCGAACGGGUGAGUAACACGUGAGUAACCUGCCCUUGACUUUGGGAUAACUUCAGGAAACUGGGGCUAAUACCGGAUCGGAGCUCCUGCUGCAUGGGGGGGAUGGGAAAUUUGCGGCGUUGGGGGUUGAAUGCGCGGCUUUCCGGCUAGUUGGUGGGGUAGGGGCUUACCAAGGCUUUGACGGGUCGCCGGCAGGGGAGGGUGACCGGCCACCUUGGGACUGAGAUACGGACCAGAGUCCUACGGGAGGCAGCAGUGGGGAAUAUUGCACAAUGGGCGGAAGCGUGAUGAAGAAACGCCGCGUGCGGGAUGACGGCUUUCUGGUUGUAAACCGCUUUCGCCUGUGACGAAGCGUGAGUGACGGUAAUGGGUAAAGAAGCACCGGCUAACUACGUG